Molecule: ribosomal RNA, 374 nt
Filed under: Ptychochromis oligacanthus
Lineage: Eukaryota; Metazoa; Chordata; Actinopteri; Cichliformes; Cichlidae
Description: Ptychochromis oligocanthus partial large subunit ribosomal RNA
Rfam family: Bacterial large subunit ribosomal RNA
Source: RNAcentral
CUUGUCUUUUAAAUGAAGACCUGUAUGAAUGGCACGACGAGGGCUUAACUGUCUCCUUUCUCCAGUCAAUGAAAUUGAUCCCCCCGUGCAGAAGCGGGGAUAAGCCCAUAAGACGAGAAGACCCUAUGGAGCUUCAGACGCAAGAACAGACCAUGUUAAACACCCCCACACAACGGACAAAACUAAUUGGUCACUGCUCUAAUGUCUUUGGUUGGGGCGACCGCGGGGAAACAAAAAACCCCCAUGUGGACUAAAGGCACAAUACCCUUACAACCAAGAGCCACAGCUCUAAGUAACAGAAACUCUGACCUCUAAGAUCCGGCUUAGCCGAUCAACGAACCGAGUUACCCUAGGGAUAACAGCGCAAUCCCCUU